CACGUAGGGUGCGAGCGUUGUCCGGAAUUAUUGGGCGUAAAGAGCUCGUAGGCGGUGUGUCGCGUCGGCCGUGAAAACCUGCAGCUUAACUGUGGGCUUGCGGUCGAUACGGGCAUCACUGGAGUUCGGCAGGGGAGACUGGAAUUCCUGGUGUAGCGGUGAGAUGCGCAGAUAUCAGGAGGAACACCGGUGGCGAAGGCGGGUCUCUGGGCCGAAACUGACGCUGAGGAGCGAAAGCGUGGGGAGCAAACAGG
Molecule: ribosomal RNA, 254 nt
Filed under: uncultured bacterium
Lineage: Bacteria
Description: partial 16S ribosomal RNA
Rfam family: Bacterial small subunit ribosomal RNA
Source: RNAcentral